AGUGAACGCUGGCGGCAGGCCUAAUACAUGCAAGUCGAACGGCAGCACAGCAGAGCUUGCUCUGUGGGUGGCGAGUGGGCGGACGGGUGAGGAAUACAUGGGAAUCUGCCCAGUCGUGGGGGAUAACGUAGGGAAACUUACGCUAAUACCGCAUGCGCCCUUCGGGGGAAAGCCGGGGGACCUUCGGGCCUGGCGCGAUUGGAUGAGCCCAUGUCGGAUUAGCUAGUUGGCGGGUAAUGGCCCACCAAGGCGACGAUCCGUAGCUGGUCUGAGAGGAUGAUCAGCCACACUGGAACUGAGACACGGUCCAGACUCCUACGGGAGGCAGCAGUAGGGAAUAUGGACAAUGGGCGCAAGCCUGAUCCAGCCAUGCCGC
Molecule: ribosomal RNA, 376 nt
Filed under: uncultured bacterium
Lineage: Bacteria
Description: bacterial SSU rRNA
Rfam family: Bacterial small subunit ribosomal RNA
Source: RNAcentral